UGAGCUACGUUGGUCAUAACUGAGCUGAU
RNAcentral lists this non-coding RNA (29 nucleotides) under Rattus norvegicus (Norway rat). The record is from RNAcentral. Lineage: Eukaryota; Metazoa; Chordata; Mammalia; Rodentia; Muridae.